AUUGAACGCUGGCGGCAUGCCUUACACAUGCAAGUCGAACGGGGGUAGCAAUACCCUAGUGGCGAUCGGGUGAGUAAAGCAUCGGAACGUACCCAGUCGUGGGGGAUAACGUAGCGAAAGUUACGCUGAUACCGCAUACGAUCUGAGGAUGAAAGCAGGGGACUCGCAAGAGCCUUGCGCGAUUGGAGCGGCCGAUGUCGGAUUAGCUAGUUGGUGAGGUAAAAGCUCACCAAGGCGACGAUCCGUAGCUGGUCUGAGAGGAUGAUCAGCCACACUGGACUGAGACACGGCCCAGACUCCUACGGGAGGCAGCAGUGGGGAAUAUUGGACAAUGGGCGCAAGCCUGAUCCAGCCAUGCCGCGUGUGUGAAGAAGGCCCUAGGGUUGUAAAGCACUUUAAGUAGGGAGGAAGGUCUGGUAAUUAAUACUUAUCAGGAUUGACGUUACCUACAGAAUAAGCACCGGCUAACUCCGUGCCAGCCGCCGCCGAA
This 490-nucleotide ribosomal RNA is filed under the name uncultured bacterium. Its description in RNAcentral is "partial 16S ribosomal RNA". It matches the Rfam family "Bacterial small subunit ribosomal RNA", at positions 30 to 522 of the family's 1533-position model. The record is from RNAcentral.